UACAGAGGUGGCAAGCGUUGUUCGGAAUUACUGGGCGUAAAGGGCGCGUAGGCGGUUCGUCAAGUCCUGUGUGAAAUCCCCCGGCUCAACUGGGGAACUGCACAGGAAACUAGCGGGCUUGAGUUCGGGAGAGGGAAGCAGAAUUCCGGGUGUAGCGGUGAAAUGCGUAGAUAUCCGGAGGAACACCGGUGGCGAAGGCGGCUUCCUGGACCGACACUGACGCUGAGGUGCGAAAGCGUGGGGAGCAAACAGG
RNAcentral lists this ribosomal RNA (253 nucleotides) under uncultured bacterium. RNAcentral's name for it is "partial 16S ribosomal RNA". It matches the Rfam family "Bacterial small subunit ribosomal RNA", at positions 524 to 776 of the family's 1533-position model. The record is from RNAcentral.